This 253-nucleotide ribosomal RNA is filed under the name uncultured bacterium. Its description in RNAcentral is "partial 16S ribosomal RNA". It matches the Rfam family "Bacterial small subunit ribosomal RNA", at positions 524 to 776 of the family's 1533-position model. The record is from RNAcentral.
UACGUAGGGUGCAAGCGUUAUCCGGAAUUAUUGGGCGUAAAGAGCUCGUAGGCGGUUUGUCGCGUCUGCUGUGAAAACUGGAGGCUCAACCUCCAGCCUGCAGUGGGUACGGGCAGACUAGAGUGCGGUAGGGGAGAUUGGAAUUCCUGGUGUAGCGGUGGAAUGCGCAGAUAUCAGGAGGAACACCGAUGGCGAAGGCAGAUCUCUGGGCCGUAACUGACGCUGAGGAGCGAAAGCGUGGGGAGCAAACAGG